Molecule: non-coding RNA, 76 nt
Organism: Podarcis lilfordi (Lilford's wall lizard)
Lineage: Eukaryota; Metazoa; Chordata; Lepidosauria; Squamata; Lacertidae
Source: the annotation of a GenBank genome assembly
UUCUGGUAUAGCUCAGCCAGUAGGGCAUGAGACUCUUAAUCUCAAGGUCUUGGGUUCGAGCCUCACAUUGGGCAAA